RNAcentral lists this ribosomal RNA (253 nucleotides) under uncultured bacterium. Its description in RNAcentral is "partial 16S ribosomal RNA". It matches the Rfam family "Bacterial small subunit ribosomal RNA", at positions 524 to 776 of the family's 1533-position model. The record is from RNAcentral.
UACGUAGGGUGCGAGCGUUAAUCGGAAUUACUGGGCGUAAAGGGUGCGUAGGCGGGUCUUUAAGUCAGGGGUGAAAUCCUGGAGCUCAACUCCAGAACUGCCUUUGAUACUGAAGAUCUUGAGUUCGGGAGAGGUGAGUGGAACUGCGAGUGUAGAGGUGAAAUUCGUAGAUAUUCGCAAGAACACCAGUGGCGAAGGCGGCUCACUGGCCCGAUACUGACGCUGAGGCACGAAGGCGUGGGGAGCAAACAGG